GAUGAACGCUGGCGGCGUGCUUAACACAUGCAAGUCGAACGAGCCUUCGGGCUAGUGGCGGACGGGUGAGUAACGCGUGGGAAUCUGCCCUCAGGAGGGGGAUAACGGCCGGAAACGGCCGCUAAUACCCCAUAUGCCGAGAGGUGAAACGAAUUUCGCCUGAGGAUGAGCCCGCGUCUGAUUAGCUAGUUGGUGAGGUAAUGGCUCACCAAGGCAUCGAUCAGUAGCUGGUCUGAGAGGAUGAUCAGCCACACUGGGACUGAGACACGGCCCAGACUCCUACGGGAGGCAGCAGUGGGGAAUUUUCCGCAAUGGGCGCAAGCCUGACGGAGCAACGCCGCGUGAGGGACGAAGGCCUCUGGGCUGUAAACCUCUUUUCUCAAGGAAGAAGACA
Molecule: ribosomal RNA, 394 nt
Filed under: uncultured cyanobacterium
Lineage: Bacteria; Bacillati; Cyanobacteriota
Description: bacterial SSU rRNA
Rfam family: Bacterial small subunit ribosomal RNA
Source: RNAcentral